CAUCUCUUCACGAGGAUCAAUUGGAGGGCAAGUCUGGUGCCAGCAGCCGCGGUAAUUCCAGCUCCAAUAGCGUAUACUAAAGUUGUUGCAGUUAAAACGCUCGUAGUCGGAUUUCGGGGCGGGCCCGCCGGUCUGCCGAUGGGUAUGCACUGGCGGGCGCGUCCUUCCUCCCGGAGACGGCUGCUACUCUUAACUGAGCGGUGGCCGGAGACGGGAUAUUUACUUUGAAAAAAUCAGAGUGUUUCAAGCGGGCAGUCGCUCUUGCAUGGAUUAGCAUGGGAUAAUGAAAUAGGACUCUGGUGCUAUUUUGUUGGUUUCGAGCACCGGACUAAUGAUUAACAGGGACAGUCAGGGGCACUCGUAUUCCGCCGAGAGAGGUGAAAUUCUCAGACCAGCGGAAGAUGAACCACUGCGAAAGCAUUUGCCAGGGAUGUUUUCACUGAUCAAGAACGAAAGUUAGGGGAUCGAAGACGAUCAGAUACCGUCGUAGUCUUAACCAUAAACCAUGCCGACUAGGGAUUGGAGGAUGUUCCAUUUGUGACUCCUUCAGCACCUUUCGGGAAACUAAAGUCUUUGGGUUCCGGGGGGAGUAUGGUCGCAAGGCUGAAACUUAAAGGAAUUGACGGAAGGGCACCACCAGGAGUGGAGCCUGCGGCUUAAUUUGACCCAACACGGGGAACCUUACCAGGUCCAGACAUUGUGAGGAUUGACAGAUUGAGAGCUCUUUCUUGAUUCGAUGGGUGGUGGUGCAUGGCCGUUCUUAGUUGGUGGAGUGAUUUGUCUGGUUAAUUCCGUUAACGAACGAGACCGCAGCCUGCUAAAUAGCGUGCCGAACCCUUUGUUGGGCGUCGCUUCUUAGAGGGACAACUUGUCUUCAACAAGUGGAAGUUCGCGGCAAUAACAGGUCUGUGAUACCCUUAGAUGUUCUGGGCCGCACGCGCGCUACACUGAUGCAUUCAGCGAGUCUAUCACCUUGACCGAGAGGUCCGGGUAAUCUUUUGAACUUGCAUCGUGAUGGGGAUAGAUUAUUGCAACUAUUAAUCUUCAACGAGGAAUUCCUAGUAAGCGUGUGUCAUCAGCGCACGUUGAUUACGUCCCUGCCCUUUGUACACACCGCCCGUCGCUCCUACCGAUUGAAUGAUCCGGUGAGGCCCCCGGACUGCGGCUCCGUCGCUGGUUCUCCAGCUUUGGGGUUGCGGGAAGCUGUCCGAACCUUAUCAUUUAGAGGAAGGAGAAGUCGUAACAAGGU
Molecule: ribosomal RNA, 1249 nt
Filed under: metagenome
Description: SSU rRNA
Rfam family: Eukaryotic small subunit ribosomal RNA
Source: RNAcentral